Molecule: non-coding RNA, 345 nt
Organism: Odocoileus virginianus texanus
Lineage: Eukaryota; Metazoa; Chordata; Mammalia; Artiodactyla; Cervidae
Source: RefSeq, a predicted model, not a curated record
UGCCUAAAAUGCUGGUAGUAAUUAUUUGAAUGACUUGUUUCUGAGGGAACAAAAAAGAAUGUGGAGGUCUCUCUUUAGCACAUUCUCAUUUCAGGGGGAAAGGUCAACAAUUCAGAUUUCUACCAAAGUAACCUUUAUUGGGUUGAAGGAAGAAGAGGGUGUUUGAAAUGACAUUCAGAAACAUGCAUUCUACGCUGGACUAACAGCAAGACCCUUAAGGUUCUUCAUCACCUUCCUGUCCUCCCAUGGCGACUUGCAGCCUCCACCAAGGAUAUCCAUUAUUCAGAGCCUCAGUGUGCUGCGGCUACUUCCACGGCCUCAUCACUCAGCAUCCGCUGUGUCUUC